Molecule: ribosomal RNA, 738 nt
Filed under: uncultured fungus
Lineage: Eukaryota; Fungi
Description: SSU rRNA
Rfam family: Eukaryotic small subunit ribosomal RNA
Source: RNAcentral
CGGGUAACGGGGAAUUAGGGUUCGAUUCCGGAGAGGGAGCCUGAGAAACGGCUACCACAUCCAAGGAAGGCAGCAGGCGCGCAAAUUACCCAAUCCCGACACGGGGAGGUAGUGACAAUAAAUAACAAUAUGGGGCUCUUACGAGUCUCGUAAUUGGAAUGAGUACAAUUUAAAUCUCUUAACGAGGAACAAUUGGAGGGCAAGUCUGGUGCCAGCAGCCGCGGUAAUUCCAGCUCCAAUAGCGUAUAUUAAAGUUGUUGCAGUUAAAAAGCUCGUAGUUGAAUUUCGGAAUCUGUCCGUCGGUCGGGCUUCACUGUCCGUACUGGUGUGAUGGGUUUCUACCUUCUGAAUAACCGGCAUGUCAUUAAUUUGGUGCGUCGGGGAAGCAGAACUAUUACCUUGAAAAAAUUAGAGUGCUUAAAGCAGGCUAUCGCCUGAAUAGAUUAGCAUGGAAUAAUAAAAUAGGACGGCAUGGUUCUAUUUUGUUGGUUUCUAGGAUCACCGUAAUGAUUAAUAGGGAUAGUUGGGGGCAUUAGUAUUCAAUUGUCAGAGGUGAAAUUCUUGGAUUUAUUGAAGACUAACUUCUGCGAAAGCAUUUGCCAAGGAUGUUUUCAUUAAUCAAGAACGAAAGUUAGGGGAUCGAAGACGAUCAGAUACCGUCGUAGUCUUAACCAUAAACUAUGCCGACUAGGGAUCGGACGAUGUUAAUUUUUUAAUGACUCGUUCGGCGCCUUACGG